CCAAGGAGGUCUUCAUACGAACUAGCAUUUCUGAGAACGAUCAGAUCAGGAUUUUGAAUGGACUUUCCGUAGAGGUCAGACGCAUGUACGGCUGCGAGCAACUAGCAGGGAUCAUCUUCAUUAUGUCUCUCAGUAGCGACAAUCGUCAACCCAUGCUCAAGUAUCGAGUUCUGAGCUCAUAUAGAAGUAGAUUAGAUCUAUUGCUUAC
RNAcentral lists this long non-coding RNA (208 nucleotides) under Elaeis guineensis (African oil palm). RNAcentral's name for it is "long non-coding RNA (EGUI_LNC039532)". Lineage: Eukaryota; Viridiplantae; Streptophyta; Magnoliopsida; Arecales; Arecaceae. The record is from RNAcentral.